UUUUGCCGGGGAAUUUCACUAGUGAUUGUAGCUGGUCUGAGAGGAUGAUCAGCCACACCGGGACUGAGACACGGCCCGGACUCCUACGGGAGGCAGCAGUGGGGAAUAUUGGACAAUGGGGGCAACCCUGAUCCAGCCAUGCCGCGUGUGUGAAGAAGGCCUUUUGGUUGUAAAGCACUUUAAGCAGUGAAGAAGACUCCGUGGUUAAUACCCACGGACGAUGACAUUAGCUGCAGAAUAAGCACCGGCUAACUCUGUGCCAGCAGCCGCGGUAAUACAGAGGGUGCAAGCGUUAAUCGGAAUUACUGGGCGUAAAGCGAGCGUAGGUGGCUUGAUAAGUCAGAUGUGAAAUCCCCGGGCUUAACCUGGGAACUGCAUCUGAUACUGUUAGGCUAGAAUAGGUGAGAGGAAGGUAGAAUUCCAGGUGUAGCGGUGAAAUGCGUAGAGAUCUGGAGGAAUACCGAUGGCGAAGGCAGCCUUCUGGCAUCAUAUUGACACUGAGGUUCGAAAGCGUGGGUAGCAAACAGGAUUAGAUACCCUGGUAGUCCACGCCGUAAACGAUGUCUACUAGUCGUUGGGUCCCUUGAGGACUUAGUGACGCAGCUAACGCAAUAAGUAGACCGCCUGGGGAGUACGGCCGCAAGGUUAAAACUCAAAUGAAUUGACGGGGGCCCGCACAAGCGGUGGAGCAUGUGGUUUAAUUCGAUGCAACGCGAAGAACCUUACCUGGUCUUGACAUAUCUAGAAUCCUGCAGAGAUGCGGGAGUGCCUUCGGGAAUUAGAAUACAGGUGCUGCAUGGCUGUCGUCAGCUCGUGUCGUGAGAUGUUGGGUUAAGUCCCGCAACGAGCGCAACCCUUGUCCUUAGUUACCAGCGGGUUAAGCCGGGAACUCUAAGGAUACUGCCAGUGACAAACUGGAGGAAGGCGGGGACGACGUCAAGUCAUCAUGGCCCUUACGACCAGGGCUACACACGUGCUACAAUGGUAGGUACAGAGGGCAGCUACACAGCGAUGUGAUGCGAAUCUCUUAAAGCCUAUCGUAGUCCAGAUUGGAGUCUGCAACUCGACUCCAUGAAGUAGGAAUCGCUAGUAAUCGCGGAUCAGAAUGCCGCGGUGAAUACGUUCCCGGGCCUUGUACACACCGCCCGUCACACCAUGGGAGUUGAUUGCACCAGAAGUGGAUAGCUUAACCUUUUAGGAAAGCGUUCACC
RNAcentral lists this ribosomal RNA (1211 nucleotides) under uncultured bacterium. RNAcentral describes it as "bacterial SSU rRNA". It matches the Rfam family "Bacterial small subunit ribosomal RNA", at positions 253 to 1458 of the family's 1533-position model. The record is from RNAcentral.